Ceratitis capitata (Mediterranean fruit fly) is the source of this 3059-nucleotide long non-coding RNA. RefSeq lists it as uncharacterized. The transcript is spliced from 3 exons. The record is from RefSeq and is a predicted model, not a curated record. Lineage: Eukaryota; Metazoa; Arthropoda; Insecta; Diptera; Tephritidae.
UUCAUUCCGAAAUGAUCCAAAUUUUGAAAAAUUGUAGGUUUCUGAACAUACAAUAAAUGCGCAUAAUUUAUUAUGUCAAUUUUUUUUUUUCUAUAAAAAUUAUCAAAAAAAUGUUUUUCAUUCAUUUAUGUUAUUCAAACAAAAUUUUAAUAAUAAAUAUGUUUAUUUCACUUUUUUUCACUUUUAAAAUUUUUCCAACGAAACUUAACACCCUAAUGUGCUAUACUCAUACAUGCGGACAUGUAUGCUAAUUAUAUAACAAAUGACAUUGCUGAGGUUAUUGAUUUUUCCAAUUCUUUGUUGCUGUAUAAAAAAGCUUCGUCUAAAGAUAAGAUCGCCAAUAAUAAAUUUAAAUAUUUAUUCGCACAUGCAAAUAUCCAUACAUAACUUAACAACCGAAUUUCAUUAUAAAUUCGUUAAAAAAUCGUCGUAUAUGUAAAUUUUAGUAUAAACUUGAAAACGAAUCGUCUUUAUUGAAGUACGUGGUUCUAUUUUUAUGUCCACCUGUGUGCCGUCUAGAAGUUUGUUGUUUUGCUUAUUAUCUUAUCUAUGCAUGUAUGUAUGUUGGUUUUUGCUUUAUACACACUUUUUAUAGCGAUUAAAAAUAUCUACACUUGUAUCCACAUUCUACUUUUUUACUUUUAUUAUUAUUAUUUUUUAAUGUGCAUACAUUAUACCUUUACGUUUGGUUAUUUUCGAAAUACCUAUGCAUGUAUGUAUACAGAAUUUCGUAUUUGUUUAUGCUUUCUAUUUUAGUUUGGUAUUUUCUAAAGCGAAGAAAUAUUAAAUUUAUUAGUUAACCUGAAGAGAAAAUCUAUACCCAGAAAUCUUAGCCAAUGAAAACUGUUGAUAAUGCCGUCGAUGCUGUAGAAAUGCCUUUGAAAAUAAUUCAAAAGAAUUUUUGAAAUUUCAAAAGUUAUGAUGUUUUUUUGGCCGUCAGUUUAAUUUAUUACAACAUUCUUUGCUUUCAAUGCAGCUCUUUGUAAAACAUUUAUUCAAAUCUCAAGGGCUUUUAUAGAAAUUCUGCAUUUCAAACGACUUUUAUGGUUUCAACAGACACCUGUCGGUUUCGGCGCGUGUUUCGGCUUUUACCUACAAACAUCCGGACACACGUACAUAUGCAUAUAUGUCUCGUAUGUAUGUAUGUACAAGCUACUAGCUACAAGCUACUUUCAUUAUUAGGAAACGAGGCGACCACAUGUUCAUCAACCAUUGGUCUUUCAAUUAAUAAUUGCUGUAGAAUAUUCCAUGUUACAUUCAGUGUCAAAAAAUGAACUAAAUUAAUAUAUUGUAAUACUUGUGUUUGUUGUAAUAUUAUAUAUAUGUAAAUAUGAAUCGUGUCAAAAUUUUGCCCUUUCUAAUGAUAAAACCUCCAAUCUACAAUACUCGAAAGAGUUAUUUAUUAGAUUUUAAUUAGAAGUCAAAGGAAUUAUCUUUGAGAAUAGAUAAAGUCCUUGUGCGAGAUGCUGUCACCUACCCGUGCGGAGCGUUGGGUCACAUCUAAUAGAGAAAUAGACUUAGUGAAGUCAUUUCCACUAAUUCGGUUUAAGGGUCCCCAGCAGGGUCUCAGAGGUGCGCCUGCGAACUGCCCGAAACAGGCUUAAUCCAAGUCACCAAGGUCUUCUAACGGGUGGUCUAGGAAACGAGCUGUUUCGACGGGUUAAAGGGACAGGUGGGUUAGAUGUGUUGGUUUUAGGGGGCAUGUAAUGAGGUUCUUUGUGCCUUACUCGGACUCGUUAAAUACUGGACAUGCGUUAGAUAUGUCGGGUCGAGUCUGGAUAAGUAGAAGUUCCACCUGCUACAAUACCCCGACGUAAGUUGCGCCUGCAUUGCGCGGGUUAUCGAGGCAACUUGAGCGCUCCGUCUGCAAUAGGAGGGAAAGAACGGAACGUUCAAAUACUUCAGCGGCAAUAUAAAGGAAUGUAAAUUCGAUGUUGAAUAUCUAACUAAAGGGACUCCGCUGCAGAUGACUAUCGUUUACUCCGGUAAAGUAAAGUCUGAAUGAAGUUAUGAGGUGUACGAUAUCAAUGCGAGAGCAGACACUGGACUGAGACUGAUGGACUUAAAGCUGUAUGUGUUCUUUUGCUAUUCUUAUUUUUCUGUCCCACAGCGUAUUAGUGCUUCUGUCAGCGCUGCGUUGCUAUUGCACAACAGUAUUUAUCCGCUGCAACGUAAUAUAAUGCAACGUCGCAACUAGUUCGCCAUCUCGUUGUUAUUGUAUGGCGAGACUCAUUGCUUCUUGAGCGACAGACGAACUGCGCGUCACAUUCUCUCACAUAAAUUUUUCAAGUAUUUAUCUACAGCCUCCUGCAAUGUCCACAUGAGCCCCACCUGCUUGCUGGUGGAACUGUAGAGGUGAAGAUAAUGUUUUGUUUACUUUGCCUAUCUAUUUGUCAUUUUAUUUUAUUAUUGCUCUACGCUCGCUGCGCUCUGCGCCUCUUCGCUGCUAUGAGUGCCAAUGAUGAUGACUUUGUAUGCCUUAAAGCUUUCAAGCUCUCACCGGAUUUCACGACUGCCUACCGGUCGAUCUGCUUGACUGCUUCCCUUUGGCUGGCUGGCUGGCUGCAUGGCUGGCGUGGGGAUCUAUUUUGUGCAAAUAUAAAAAUCGUUAACAUUCUUGGCGCUUUGUUAGUCUACAAUCAGACGUUGAGCGGUGGAACUCUACCCACAGUUGUUAAACAGAAAUAAUUAUAUUAAUUAAUUUGGGAAACCAACAGUAUUUUAGCACCCGCAUUGUAAAGGGUUGUAAAGAAGUUAACUUGAGAAUAAGUAUACGCACAACAAAACUACAUAAAUGUGAAGGCUUUCGAUCGAAGCCACAACCUUUUUGUGCAUCAUCACCACCACCACCAACACAAUAUCGAGGUUGAAUAAAUAAAGAUAUUGCUAAUUUAAAUAUUUGUAAUGUUCAAAAUAGAACAAACAAGCUGCAUGUACAUCUGAUAAAAUGAUAUAGUUAUCUCACAGCAUCAUAAAGUAAUAAAGUGUAACUGAGCUAAAUAUGUAUGUAGAUAUGUACAAACAUUCGAGAAAAUUCCACAAAACAAAAAAAACGCCUC